Molecule: long non-coding RNA, 605 nt
Filed under: Pongo abelii (Sumatran orangutan)
Lineage: Eukaryota; Metazoa; Chordata; Mammalia; Primates; Hominidae
Description: lincRNA
Source: RNAcentral
GCGCCACAAGGAAAGCCGAGCAGGCAAUUGCUGCCCCGCCCACUCUGGGAAGAGGGGCGGGGCCGCCGGCUCCAGGGGGACGGAAGGGGCGGGACCGCCGGCUCCAGGGGGACGGAAGGGGCGGGGCCGUUGGAUCCUUGGGCAAUGGGGCGGGGCGGGCUUUCCCUCGGGGGGCGCAGCAGCUUCCUGUGCCGCCCUCACGCUCUGGGUCAGAGUUCCUUUACAGGCGGACCUGAGAGGCAACUUACCGACUCCUGCCCUGGACCCUCCUGCGCCACUGAACCCCCUGACCUGGGAGCCUCCGAACCUAGGUCUCAGGAGAUGAACCAGGACUUACCAGAAGGUACCAAGUGAACUUCUAGGAAAAGUCCAGUUCUCAGAUGCUGGAUGUCUUCCAAAAAGGAAGCAAAUUUGUAACUUAGUAGCUGAGUCAACUAACCCUGUUAGAUGGUCAACACUGAUUUGUUUAUUUUAUUUUAGUAUUUUUAAGUGGCAACUCUAGUGUGUGAGAAAAUGAAUGUGACAGCUGAAUUUGUAGAAAGCUGCUUUGACUCUCUUGGGCUCCUUCAUAAGCCCUGGAACUAAAUAAAAGUCUAGUGAAUACA